GUGAAUCAUCAAAUUUUUGAACGCAAAUUGCACUCUCCGGUUUUCCGGGAGAGUAUGCCUGUUUUAGGGUCAGCCUAAAAAAAAUCGACAUUGUUGCUGUUAUUUAAUGGUUACUUUCGUCGGAGAUUGGGUUAUCUUAAACCUUUUUUUUUUUGUUUAAGCUCCUUAAAUUUUUUCUUCACGUUUCCCUUCACGUUUCUACUUUUUUUUUUUCUUCUCCUUUUCAGUUUUCUCUCUCUUUUAUUCUCCGUUCCCUUCGCCUCG
This 264-nucleotide unclassified non-coding RNA is filed under the name Glomeraceae sp. Its description in RNAcentral is "partial contains 5.8S ribosomal RNA and internal transcribed spacer 2". The stretch from base 1 to 72 matches the Rfam family "5.8S ribosomal RNA", at positions 84 to 154 of the family's 154-position model. Lineage: Eukaryota; Fungi; Glomeromycota; Glomeromycetes; Glomerales; Glomeraceae. The record is from RNAcentral.